GGGCCUUUUUGCGGGUGGCCGUGUCGACUCAUUUCGGCUCAUAACCGAUUGGUCCUAGGUUCGAGUCCUAGUGGGCCCACCA
This 82-nucleotide transfer RNA is filed under the name Peptococcaceae bacterium. Its description in RNAcentral is "tRNA-Ser". Lineage: Bacteria; Bacillati; Bacillota; Clostridia; Eubacteriales; Peptococcaceae. The record is from RNAcentral.